UGCUUGGAAAUUCUCAUGGCCUGAAAAAUCAAAACCAACAGCUGGCUGAAGAGGGAUUCUGAGGAGUUGGGAUCAUUCUAGAAUUCUGACGCUGUGUGGCUCGUUCCUCUGAUCCUGUGACACCUUAUAAGAAACCUUUUUGGAGAAAACGUGCUGAGAAGGAAGGAACAUAACCAGAAAACAAAGAAGGAGCCAAGCUUGCUAAGCGCCACGAACAGGUGCUGACUGAGAACAAAUGUUCAGGACACGCAGUGAGGAGAGAGAAAGG
Cervus elaphus (red deer) is the source of this 268-nucleotide long non-coding RNA. RefSeq lists it as uncharacterized. NCBI's taxonomy places the organism in Eukaryota, Metazoa, Chordata, Mammalia, Artiodactyla, Cervidae. The record is from RefSeq and is a predicted model, not a curated record. The transcript is spliced from 3 exons.